GAUGAACGCUGGCGGCGUGCCUAAUACAUGCAAGUCGAGCGAACCACUUCGGUGGUGAGCGGCGAACGGGUGAGUAACACGUAGGUGAUCUGCCCAUCAGACGGGGACAACGAUUGGAAACGAUCGCUAAUACCGGAUAGGACGAAAGUUUAAAGGUGCUUCUGGCACCGCUGAUGGAUGAGCCUGCGGCGCAUUAGCUAGUUGGUAGGGUAAAGGCCUACCAAGGCGACGAGGCGUAGCCGACCUGAGAGGGUGAACGGCCACACUGGGACUGAGACACGGCCCAGACUCCUACGGGAGGCAGCAGUAGGGAAUCUUCGGCAAUGGGCGAAAGCAUGACCGAGCAACGCCGCGUGAAUGAUGAAGGCCUUCGGGUUGUAAAAUUCUGUUAUAAGGGAAGAACGACUUUAGUAGGAAAUGGCUAGAGUGUGACGGUACCUUAUGAGAAAGCCACGGCUAACUACGUGCCAGCCGCCGCGGUAA
RNAcentral lists this ribosomal RNA (483 nucleotides) under uncultured bacterium. RNAcentral's name for it is "partial 16S ribosomal RNA". It matches the Rfam family "Bacterial small subunit ribosomal RNA", at positions 28 to 523 of the family's 1533-position model. The record is from RNAcentral.